AGUAAAGGAGACAGCACAAGGACCAAACGAAAGAUACUCGGCACGGGGCGUCUCCAACAAAUUUCAAAUCUAGGCCACGUGGGAAUGCGUUCACCCCAUACCUGGUCGGGUUCAUCCUUCUCUGCCGCCGGAUCGAUGGGCGGACGGAUGGCGACGCACGAAUAGGGAAGGGCUGAUGUGGCCUGGCUGUUCGUCCCCCCCUCCCUGCAUGGCGGCGGACAUUCAAGACCCGAAACAGCCGAAUAAUCUAUUUCCAAGCACACAACCACAUGGAAAGGAGCAGUUACAAAGACAACCUCUACCCUUCUCGGCUGCGUGUUCCCUCUCUCUCUACUGGCAUGUGGCGCCCUCUCGAACAG
Molecule: long non-coding RNA, 359 nt
Organism: Eriocheir sinensis (Chinese mitten crab)
Lineage: Eukaryota; Metazoa; Arthropoda; Malacostraca; Decapoda; Varunidae
Exons: 3
Source: RefSeq, a predicted model, not a curated record